This is an unclassified non-coding RNA of Microcebus murinus (gray mouse lemur), 102 nucleotides long. It matches the Rfam family "Y RNA". From Rfam's summary of the family: Y RNAs are components of the Ro ribonucleoprotein particle (Ro RNP), in association with Ro60 and La proteins. The Y RNAs and Ro60 and La proteins are well conserved, but the function of the Ro RNP is not known. The record is from Ensembl. NCBI's taxonomy places the organism in Eukaryota, Metazoa, Chordata, Mammalia, Primates, Cheirogaleidae.
GGCUGGUGUGAGUGCAGUAGUGUUUACAAGUAAUUGAUCACAACCAGUUACAGAUUGCUUGGUUCCUUCCCCACUCCCACUGCUUCACUUGGCCAGCCUGUA